Molecule: ribosomal RNA, 253 nt
Filed under: uncultured bacterium
Lineage: Bacteria
Description: partial 16S ribosomal RNA
Rfam family: Bacterial small subunit ribosomal RNA
Source: RNAcentral
UACGUAGGGUGCGAGCGUUAAUCGGAAUUACUGGGCGUAAAGCGUGCGCAGGCGGUUUUGUAAGCCAGAUGUGAAAUCCCCGGGCUUAACCUGGGAAUGGCAUUUGGGACUGCAAGGCUGGAGUGCGGCAGAGGAGACUGGAAUUCCUGGUGUAGCAGUGAAAUGCGUAGAUAUCGAGAGGAACACCUGCGGCGAAGGCGGGUUGCUGGGCUGAUACUGACGCUGAGGCGCGAAAGCCAGGGGAGCGAACGGG